AUAGCUGGUUGCCUGUGAGACGAAUCUAAGUUCCCUCUUAAUUUUCCCUCCCGGACAAUCUUAGCCACCAUGUGAUAAAUCAAGAGCAAUUUAAAGGAGGUACAGCUCCUUUAAAAAAGAAUACAAUCUUCCCUAGUGGAUAACUACCCAACAUCCCCAGACUGUAGGCCCUCAAGCAGCCACCAACAGAGAGUGCGUCAAAGCUCUGCCCCCAAAAAUCCAAAAACAACAGGACUCCCUUACCUAUAACAGGCCAACCUAUGACAAUAGGAGAAUCAAUGCUAAAAUGAGUAAUCGGGGGUCACCCUCCAAAGCGCAAGCUUACAUUUCCCACAUUAUUAACAGACCCUAAACUAAUACCCCUAGCCCAACAAGCCAAGUAUUAAAUUCACUCUGUUAACCCAACCCAGGAGCGCCCAUUAGAAAGAUUCAAAUCUGCAAAAGGAACUAGGCAACCCUAAGGCCCGACUGUUUACCAAAAACAUAGCCUUCAGCCGACCAAGUAUUGAAGGUGAUGCCUGCCCAGUGACACCCAGUUUAACGGCCGCGGUAUCCUAACCGUGCGAAGGUAGCGCAAUCAAUUGUCCCAUAAAUCGAGACUUGUAUGAAUGGCUAAACGAGGUCUUAACUGUCUCUUGCAGACAAUCAAUGAAAUUGAUCUUCCUGUGCAAAAGCAGGAAUAAACCCAUAAGACGAGAAGACCCUGUGGAACUUAAAAAUCAGCGACCACUACACGCAACCCAAGACCUACCAGGCCUACGACCCCAUAAAACACUGGUCCGCAUUUUUCGGUUGGGGCGACCUUGGAGAAAAACAAAUCCUCCAAAAACAAGAUCAAUAAAUCUUGACCAAGAACAACCCCUCAACGUGCUAACAGCAACCAGACCCAAUAUAAUUGAUCAAUGGACCAAGCUACCCCAGGGAUAACAGCGCAAUCCCCUCCGAGAGCCCGUAUCGACAAGNNGGUUUACGACCUCGAUGUUGGAUCAGGACAUCCUAAUGGUGCAGCCGCUAUUAAGGGUUCGUUUGUUCAACGAUUAACAGUCCUACGUGAUCUGAGUUCAGACCGGAGCAAUCCAGGUCGGUUUCUAUCUAU
This 1096-nucleotide ribosomal RNA is filed under the name Eudyptes chrysocome (Rockhopper penguin). Its description in RNAcentral is "partial 16S ribosomal RNA". It matches the Rfam family "Bacterial large subunit ribosomal RNA", at positions 845 to 2645 of the family's 2925-position model. The record is from RNAcentral. Lineage: Eukaryota; Metazoa; Chordata; Aves; Sphenisciformes; Spheniscidae.